CUUUACUGUAGCCUGGUAUUGGGUUCGGGCUUUGACUGCGCAGGAUAGGUGGGAGACUGAGAAGUGUGCCUUGUGGGGCACAUAGAGUCAACGGUGAGAUACCACUCUGUCAGAGCUAGAAUUCUAACCUUCACCCGUGAUCCGGGGAAGGAACCGUAUCAGGUGGGCAGUUUGACUGGGGCGGUCGCCUCCUAAAAGGUAACGGAGGCGCGCAAAGGUGUUCUCAGGCUGGUUGGAAAUCAGCCGUAGAGUGUAAAGGCAGAAGAACGCUUGACUGUGAGAGUGACAACUCAAGCAGGGUGGAAACACGGCCUUAGUGAUCCGACGGCACCGCGUGGAAGGGCCGUCGCUCAACGGAUAAAAGUUA
RNAcentral lists this ribosomal RNA (367 nucleotides) under uncultured organism. RNAcentral's name for it is "bacterial LSU rRNA". It matches the Rfam family "Bacterial large subunit ribosomal RNA", at positions 2099 to 2465 of the family's 2925-position model. The record is from RNAcentral.